CGUACACUCCUACGGGAGGCAGCAGUGGGGAAUAUUGCACAAUGGGCGCAAGCCUGAUGCAGCCAUGCCGCGUGUAUGAAGAAGGCCUUCGGGUUGUAAAGUACUUUCAGCGGGGAGGAAGGCGAUAAGGUUAAUAACCUUGUCGAUUGACGUUACCCGCAGAAGAAGCACCGGCUAACUCCGUGCCAGCAGCCGCGGUAAUACGGAGGGUGCAAGCGUUAAUCGGAAUUACUGGGCGUAAAGCGCACGCAGGCGGUCUGUCAAGUCGGAUGUGAAAUCCCCGGGCUCAACCUGGGAACUGCAUUCGAAACUGGCAGGCUAGAGUCUUGUAGAGGGGGGUAGCAUUCCAGGUGUAGCGGUGAAAUGCGUAGAGAUCUGGAGGAAUACCGGUGGCGAAGGCGGCCCCCUGGACAAAGACUGACGCUCAGGUGCGAAAGCGUGGGGAGCAAACAGGAUUAGAAACCCCAGUAGUCCCAUG
This 478-nucleotide ribosomal RNA is filed under the name uncultured organism. Its description in RNAcentral is "partial 16S ribosomal RNA". It matches the Rfam family "Bacterial small subunit ribosomal RNA", at positions 330 to 799 of the family's 1533-position model. The record is from RNAcentral.